CUGAAAUGAGGCACAGGUGUGAACAGACAGCAGUUACCAGCCCAGUGUUACCCUAGGCAUUGCUUCCUUUACUUAAGGCCAGCCUCAGCCCUACAGCCUGCUUCCUUAUGUGGGAAGAACAUCUGAGUAUUUUCAGAAAGAAAAGAGCGCUCUUCAGGACGUGAUUACAGCAGCAUUAGGGCUUUUCGAGUUGCUGGAAUGCUCUGUUUCUUCACGGAUGAAGGAAGUGGUGAUGGCCAUCAAACAAUCAGGAGACAGAGCUGGGAAGAACUGUGUUUCCCUAGGGAAGAAGCUGCACAGAAGCCUGCAGAAGGCACAGUCCCUGCUUGUACCCAGAGGUGAAGAGCUUCCCUGCUGCUACACCAACCACAGCUCAAGCCCUUGAGGCUGUUACUUGUCUUUUCACCCUUUGCCCUGGCUUGUGCAUAAUGCAACAUGGGACAAAUUCACGUUCCCCUCAAUCAUUUUUGUUACAAAACUACAACUGACUUUCUUUUAAAUCUUGGCUUUUGCCUGGGCUGAGUAUAUCGCCUCUUCUGGUGCAAGGCGUGUUUUCAAACAAUCCUAUAGCAUCUCUCUUGUCAGUUCCUUGUUGAGCAUAAAUGUGUUCCCAAACUCCUCUUUUCCAAGGAAUACACAUGUAAGUUCUCGCAUAUUUAUUAAAUAACAUGAAUCCCCUCCCACACACUUUUUUUCUUGCCAAGAGCAGCAGUAAUCUGCAUGGGAACACAGCAGCGUAGGAGUUAUCUGCUUGAAUUGGUUGACACAGCCAUAGUGGGUCCCCACUUGCUCUCAGACUGCUUCUUUCAUGUUACAGAGAGAAUGAAACCCAGGCUGGACGCUUCUCUUGGUUACCACUUUGGUUAUUUUUUCUUCACGCUUAGUGAGGAACACACAUCAGUGUUUGCCAGCAGAUACUGAUGCUUAUUUUCCUCUUGGAAAGCCUCCUUGCUACUCGAGCCACAACAAAAAGAAGACUAAAUCCAAAUUCCAAGGAGAAAGAAACCCCUCUUCAGCAGGACAUUGCCUUCAAGUGGGAAAAGUGCCAGAGGCUCCAUUAAGUCUACUUUGUAUUCUUAUUGAUUUUAUGUGGAAGGCACUCAGAUCCGUGGGGGUGAACAACAGGCUGAGGGCUGAGGUACUGCAUUAGGAAACACAGCUCGUGAUGCAGAGUGAUCAUUCAGCCCUUUACAGUGAUCACAUUCACAUUAAUAAGUCCAUCCUGUGUCUGUGCUAAUGUAUUUUCAUGCCAGUUUUGCAGAGCUGACGUAAUGUUACAUUCAGUUCCAUCCAGCAGUGCUGGUUACAGUUGUCAGCCACAGCUGAUAGAAGUGGAACUUUAAAAACGGAACAAGACGUGUCACAGCUCGUUGUGCUAAUUCUGCUUUAAGCUGCUUUUGCCAUGAAUACGAAGUUUGGUUCAGGAACCUGAAGGAAAGCACUUUGCAUGGAAAGA
This is a long non-coding RNA of Tympanuchus pallidicinctus (lesser prairie-chicken), 1456 nucleotides long. RefSeq lists it as uncharacterized. Lineage: Eukaryota; Metazoa; Chordata; Aves; Galliformes; Phasianidae. The record is from RefSeq and is a predicted model, not a curated record. The transcript is spliced from 3 exons.